GACGAACGCUGGCGGCGUGCCUAAUACAUGCAAGUUGAGCGCUGAAGGUUGGUACUUGUACCAACUGGAUGAGCAGCGAACGGGUGAGUAACGCGUGGGGAAUCUGCCUUUGAGCGGGGGACAACAUUUGGAAACGAAUGCUAAUACCGCAUAAAAACUUUAAACACAAGUUUUAAGUUUGAAAGAUGCAAUUGCAUCACUCAAAGAUGAUCCCGCGUUGUAUUAGCUAGUUGGUGAGGUAAAGGCUCACCAAGGCGAUGAUACAUAGCCGACCUGAGAGGGUGAUCGGCCACAUUGGGACUGGGACACGGCCCAAACGCCUACGGGAGGCAGCAGUAGGGAAUCUUCGGCAAUGGACGAAAGUCUGACCGAGGAACGCCGCGUGAGUGAAGAAGGGUUUCGGAUCGUAAAACUCUGUUGGUAGAGAAGAACGUUGGUGAGAGUGGAAAGCUCAUCAAGUGACGGUAACUACCCAGAAAGGGACGGCUAACUACGUG
RNAcentral lists this ribosomal RNA (497 nucleotides) under uncultured bacterium. RNAcentral's name for it is "partial 16S ribosomal RNA". It matches the Rfam family "Bacterial small subunit ribosomal RNA", at positions 28 to 507 of the family's 1533-position model. The record is from RNAcentral.